AACAGGAUUAGAUACCCUGGUAGUCCACGCAGUAAACGAUGAUUACUAGGAGUUUGCGAUACAAUGUAAGCUCUACAGCGAAAGCGUUAAGUAAUCCACCUGGGGAGUACGCCGGCAACGGUGAAACUCAAAGGAAUUGACGGGGGCCCGCACAAGCGGAGGAACAUGUGGUUUAAUUCGAUGAUACGCGAGGAACCUUACCCGGGUUUGAACGUAGUCUGACCGGAGUGGAAACACUCUUUCUAGCAAUAGCAGAUUACGAGGUGCUGCAUGGUUGUCGUCAGCUCGUGCCGUGAGGUGUCGGCUUAAGUGCCAUAACGAGCGCAACCCUUAUCACUAGUUACUAACAGGUGAAGCUGAGGACUCUGGUGAGACUGCCAGCGUAAGCUGUGAGGAAGGUGGGGAUGACGUCAAAUCAGCACGGCCCUUACAUCCGGGGCGACACACGUGUUACAAUGGCAUGGACAAAGGGCAGCUACCUGGUGACAGGAUGCUAAUCUCCAAACCAUGUCUCAGUUCGGAUCGGAGUCUGCAACUCGACUCCGUGAAGCUGGAUUCGCUAGUAAUCGCGCAUCAGCCAUGGCGCGGUGAAUACGUUCCCGGGCCUUGUACACACCGCCCGUCAAGCCAUGGGAGCCGGGGGUACCUGAAGUCCGUAACCGCAAGGAUCGGCCUAGGGUAAAACUGGUGACUGGGGCUAAGUCGUAACAAGGUAGCCGUACCGGAAGGUGCGGCUG
This 737-nucleotide ribosomal RNA is filed under the name human gut metagenome. RNAcentral's name for it is "bacterial SSU rRNA". It matches the Rfam family "Bacterial small subunit ribosomal RNA", at positions 771 to 1520 of the family's 1533-position model. The record is from RNAcentral.